GCAAUCAAAAUGGGACUUCCUUGAGGGCAGGCCUGUCUUGCAUCUGUUUCUCCACCACCUAGCCUGGAAUAUACUUCUUGGUGAAUUUUUGGAUGAAGCCAUUAAAUUAAUUGCUUGCCAUCAUGAGCAGAAGCAAGCGUGACAACAAUUUUUAUAGUGUAGAGAUUGGAGAUUCUACAUUCACAGUCCUGAAACGAUAUCAGAAUUUAAAACCUAUAGGCUCAGGAGCUCAAGGAAUAGUAUGUGCAGCUUAUGAUGCCAUUCUUGAAAGAAAUGUUGCAAUCAAGAAGCUAAGCCGACCAUUUCAGAAUCAGACUCAUGCCAAGCGGGCCUACAGAGAGCUAGUUCUUAUGAAAUGUGUUAAUCACAAAAAUAUAAUUGGCCUUUUGAAUGUUUUCACACCACAGAAAUCCCUAGAAGAAUUUCAAGAUGUUUACAUAGUCAUGGAGCUCAUGGAUGCAAAUCUUUGCCAAGUGAUUCAGAUGGAGCUAGAUCAUGAAAGAAUGUCCUACCUUCUCUAUCAGAUGCUGUGUGGAAUCAAGCACCUUCAUUCUGCUGGAAUUAUUCAUCGGGUUAGUAGAAAAAACUAUCAUCAUACUCUUUGUUUUCUCAUUGAGGUGAAAUUCAUGUAACAAAAUUAACCAUUCUAAAGUGGCAUUUUUAGUACUUUCACAGUGCUGUACAACUACCACCCAUAUUAAAUUCUAAAAUAUUUUCAUUACCCCCAAAAAA
This 732-nucleotide small RNA is filed under the name Pan troglodytes (chimpanzee). Its description in RNAcentral is "processed transcript". Lineage: Eukaryota; Metazoa; Chordata; Mammalia; Primates; Hominidae. The record is from RNAcentral.